UGGAAACAGAAAGUCGGUUUGAUGAAAUUAGUUAUGAAACUUAUGAUCCUCGAAAUACCAGGUUCGUAUCAGAUUUUAAUGCGCUAAAAUAAGUCAAUGGUAAGACCAAAAAGAAAGUUGUUCCUCCGACAAAGAAUAAAUUCACACGUCGAGUCUUGGCUGGUUUUCGAUCACAGGCGCAAAUGGGUGUAGCAAGUCUCUCAACAUCAUUAUCUAUUCUUUAUUUUUUUUUUUUUUUAAGAAUUGUGAAAAACAUCAAAACGAAUUUUUGGAGUAGGAUUCGGAUUUUAUAUAAAAUCCGUCUCACUCUUUUAUUGGACCUUGUGCAAAUUUAUAAAAAUAACACAUGUAUUCUGUAAAAAUGAGUUUUAAUAUUUUCGUAGAAAACCCUAAAUUCUAA
RNAcentral lists this long non-coding RNA (400 nucleotides) under Brassica rapa (field mustard). RNAcentral's name for it is "long non-coding RNA (BRAP_LNC000991)". The record is from RNAcentral. Lineage: Eukaryota; Viridiplantae; Streptophyta; Magnoliopsida; Brassicales; Brassicaceae.